RNAcentral lists this ribosomal RNA (275 nucleotides) under uncultured bacterium. RNAcentral's name for it is "partial 16S ribosomal RNA". It matches the Rfam family "Bacterial small subunit ribosomal RNA", at positions 79 to 353 of the family's 1533-position model. The record is from RNAcentral.
CUAAGUUUGAUGGCGACCGGCGCACGGGUGAGUAACACGUAUCCAACCUGCCGAUGACUCGGGGAUAGCCUUUCGAAAGAAAGAUUAAUACCCGAUGGCAUAGUUCUUCCGCAUGGUGGAACUAUUAAAGAAUUUCGGUCAUCGAUGGGGAUGCGUUCCAUUAGGUUGUUGGCGGGGUAACGGCCCACCAAGCCUACGAUGGAUAGGGGUUCUGAGAGGAAGGUCCCCCACAUUGGAACUGAGACACGGUCCAAACUCCUACGGGAGGCAGCAUG